RNAcentral lists this ribosomal RNA (391 nucleotides) under Polysiphonia sp. RNAcentral's name for it is "partial small subunit ribosomal RNA". It matches the Rfam family "Eukaryotic small subunit ribosomal RNA", at positions 582 to 975 of the family's 1831-position model. The record is from RNAcentral. Lineage: Eukaryota; Rhodophyta; Florideophyceae; Ceramiales; Rhodomelaceae.
AUUCCUGCUCUGUAAGCGUUUACCAAAGUUGUUGCAGUUAAAGCGCUCGUAGUCGGAUUUUGGCGUGGUGCCUCUGAGAUGCCUGAUUUUGGGCGUCAAAUAUUGUAGUCCCGCCUUUGUGGAGGGGGGUGUGGUGGUGCUUUAUUGCAUUGCCGCAUUUCCGCCACUGUUUACUGUGAAAAAAUUAGAGUGUUCAAAGCGAGCGAUUGCCAUGAAUACAUUAGCAUGGAAUAAUAGAAUAGGACCUGGUUCUGUUUUAUUGGUUUGUCGGUAUCAGGUAAUGAUUAAGAGGGACGGUCGGGGGCAUUUAUAUUCCAGGGUUAGAGGUGAAAUUCUUAGAUCCUUGGAAGAUAAACAGCUGCGAAAGCGUCUGCCAAGGACGUUUUCAUCA